CUGCUGAUUUGCAUGUGCACAGAGCACUGUCCAGAGCCCUGGAGGCUUCUUCAUAGGCUGCUCAAACCCUGUGUAGGACUCAGUCCCAGUCGGCACACAGCAUGGACAUGUGGGUCCCCGCUCAGCUCCUGGGGCUUCUGCUGCUCUGGCUGCCAGGUGGAAAAUGUGACAUCCAGUUGACCCAGUCUCCCUCUGUGUCUGCAUCUUUAGGAGAGAGAGUCACCAUCACUUGCCAAGCCAGCCAGGAUAUUAGCACUAUUUUACACUGGUAUCAGCAGAAACAUGGGAAAACUCCUAAGCUUCUUAUUUAUGGUGCAAGCAAUUUGCAAUCUGGGGUUCCUUCGAGGUUCAGUGGCAGUGGGUCUGGGACAGAUUUCACUCUCACCAUCAGCAGUGUAGAGCCUGAAGAUGUUGCGACUUAUUACUGUCAACAUAAUUAUGGUAUACCUCCCACAGUGAUACAAGCCAUAACAUAA
Non-coding RNA from Cavia porcellus (domestic guinea pig), 476 nucleotides. NCBI's taxonomy places the organism in Eukaryota, Metazoa, Chordata, Mammalia, Rodentia, Caviidae. The record is from the annotation of a RefSeq genome assembly.